AGCAGCCGCGGUAAUUCCAGCUCCAAUAGCGUAUAUUAAAGUUGUUGCAGUUAAAAAGCUCGUAGUUGAAUUUCGGGAUCAAUAUAUCGGUCGUGCCUUCGGUACGUACUGGUAUCAUUGGUUUCUCCUUUCUGACGAACCAUGAUGUCAUUAAUUUGGUGUUAUGGGGAGUUAGGACUGUUACUUUGAAAAAAUUAGAGUGUUUAAAGCAAGCUAACGCUUGAAUACAUUAGCAUGGAAUAAUGAAAUAGGACGUUCGAUCCUAUUUUGUUGGUUUCUUAGGAUUGACGUAAUGAUUAAUAGGGAUAGUUGGGGGCAUUAGUAUUCAAUUGUCAGAGGUGAAAUUCUUGGAUUUAUUGAAGACUAACUACUGCGAAAGCAUUUGCCAAGGAUGUUUUCAUUAAUCAAGAACGAAAGUUAGGGGAUCGAAGACGAUCAGAUACCGUCGUAGUCUUAACCAUAAACUAUGCCGACUAGGGAUCGGAUGAUGUUAAUUUUUUAACGUAACUUCAUUUCGGCG
RNAcentral lists this ribosomal RNA (520 nucleotides) under uncultured Glomus. RNAcentral's name for it is "SSU rRNA". It matches the Rfam family "Eukaryotic small subunit ribosomal RNA", at positions 569 to 1085 of the family's 1831-position model. Lineage: Eukaryota; Fungi; Glomeromycota; Glomeromycetes; Glomerales; Glomeraceae. The record is from RNAcentral.